Molecule: transfer RNA, 73 nt
Filed under: Haemonchus contortus (barber pole worm)
Lineage: Eukaryota; Metazoa; Nematoda; Chromadorea; Rhabditida; Trichostrongylidae
Description: tRNA, Pseudo
Source: RNAcentral
GUUCCUGGACCAGGGAUCGAACCGGCAUCCCCUGCAUUGGCAGGCAGAUGCUUAACCACUGGACUACUAGGGA